Molecule: long non-coding RNA, 650 nt
Organism: Zonotrichia leucophrys gambelii
Lineage: Eukaryota; Metazoa; Chordata; Aves; Passeriformes; Passerellidae
Exons: 3
Source: RefSeq, a predicted model, not a curated record
GUUUCAUCAGUCCCCUCCCUUUUCAUCGGCUCUUGCUGCCAGGUGGUCUGGCAUUCCCUUAUCUCAGCCUCAAAGGACUCUGCAGUGCGGGGGAUUGGAAAGACAAACCAAAUUCUUCUCCUGAGAGAGGCAGGCAAAACCACUGAGGACUGGAUCAUCUGCCUUUGCUUAUUAUACUGCAACACAGGAACAGCCUGAUCUGAAAACUGUGGCCAGACAGAAGACAAACACACUCUACAGGCCAAAAAGAAGCAUCACAGCUAUUUCGUGGGCUGCGUGCAAUGCUGUCCCUGGAGAGCAGUAACUGAGAAGAGUUAAGGCAAUGGAAGCCCAGUUCAGGCACGCUGCUGAGGGGCAGAGUCUUCACACACAGGUGUCUGUAGGGGGGUCUGGAGCUGAUUCCUGUUCCAGCUCCGUGUGCACCUGCACAGCUCGGGGCAGCGGUGCUGCAGGCUGCGCCCUGCGGGUCUCUGAAGGGACAAGCCCAGGCACACUUGCAGCUCAGCGUGUGUCCCAGAUUGUCUGGAUCAGCCAGGCAUGGCCAGAACACAUCUCAGCCCACCAGGAGGGGCAGCAAGGCCCGCUCUUCAUCUGUGGAUGGCCCAAAGCACCAGAAGCUGCACAGCGGAGUUGGAAGAUGGUGGUAUAGA